Molecule: long non-coding RNA, 804 nt
Organism: Myotis myotis
Lineage: Eukaryota; Metazoa; Chordata; Mammalia; Chiroptera; Vespertilionidae
Exons: 3
Source: RefSeq, a predicted model, not a curated record
CCCUGGCUUUGUAGUUAGUUGCCAGGAAAGGUUUGAGUUGCCCCUCGGGGGUGCCACUCCCACCCUGCCCAGAUAGUCGGUCAUGGCCUCCACUAGACCAGCUGGAACUUGGGGUCAAACAUAGUACCGUUAGGAUUCAACAAGGAAAGAGAUAGCCGGGAAAUUUUCCAUUUUGAGGUCUGGGGAAAGAGUAGUGAGAAUUCUGGUCUCAGAAGAAAACUGAUAUUUUGUCAUAAAGUACUCCUGCCCUGACUGCUCUAGGGAUUCAGAGGUGCCUCCGUCACAGCUCUACCAGGAAACUCACUAUCUGGGAUGUGCAGGGUGCUAGAGGGUAAGUAGUCAGGAGGUGAGAUGUCAAUAAAAUUUCUUUCUGUUUAAAUCUGUUUAAAGCCCAUUUAAUCUGUGGUUUCCUGGAUCUACAUGUAAUCCCCGCCACAGCAGGGUGAAUUCCCCGAGAGAGGAAAGCUAUAACUUGAACUCAUAACUGAUUUUCCAGAAAGCCCCAGCAGAGCCAAUUUUUGUCCUCUAUGGGCCUGUCUCUCACCAUCAUUUUGGAAAGAUGUCUAGCCGAGGCCCUGCUUCUGGAGGCAUUUGGGUGCAGGCAGGAGCCAAGGUCUUGACAAAAAUAGUUUUUAAAAUUCACUUUUGAUUAUUGCUUAUAUUCUAUCAUAUGAUUGAACCCUAAUUUAUUUUCAUUUUUCAAAAUACUGGAUAUUUAAGUUGCUUUAGAGGGUUGCUGUUAAAAUACACUAAAGAACAUCUUGGUACAUAAGUCUUUCUCUUAAAUUUAGGUUACUUUGUAUU